UACGUAGGUGGCGAGCGUUGUCCGGAUUUACUGGGCGUAAAGAGCGUGUAGGCGGCCAAACAGGUCCGUUGUGAAAACUGGAAGCUCAACUUCCAGACGUCGACGGAAACCGUGUGGCUAGAGUCCGGAAGAGGAGAGUGGAAUUCCGUGGUGUAGCGGUGAAAUGCGCAGAUAUCAGGAGGAACACCCGUAGCGAAGGCGGCACUCUGGGCCGGAACUGACGCUGAGGAGCGAAAGCGUGGGGAGCGAACAGG
RNAcentral lists this ribosomal RNA (254 nucleotides) under uncultured bacterium. RNAcentral's name for it is "partial 16S ribosomal RNA". It matches the Rfam family "Bacterial small subunit ribosomal RNA", at positions 524 to 776 of the family's 1533-position model. The record is from RNAcentral.